AAAAGCUAUUGGUGUUGGUGUUAUACUUAUAUAGCGCUUUUCCACCUUAUCAAGGCGCUCAAAGCGCUUUACACUAUCUCACCAUUCACCUACUGGUGACACAGCACCAGGAGCAACGUGGGGUUCAGUAUCUUGCUCAAGGAUACUUAGUAAUUGAACUCACCUAAGCAGAGGAGGCAGGUGAUGACGAAGGUGUUCAUAUCCCAGGAAGACGAGCGAGUGAAAGCCAGGAAGUCUGUUCCAAGUCCGAGUCAGCGUCUGACCAUUUACUCAUUCAAUGCCAUGGAGUUUGAUCGGCUCAAUGUACCUGAAGACACGGAGGACUCAGCGUGUGUCAUCUGAAGAAUGGAUGAGAUGCUCUUUGUCAGAACAAAAGGCCACAAGAGCAUGACACCUGUUCAACACAAAAUAUGGACAGAAGAAGAGUUAUGUAAUACAAAAUGCUGACAAGACAAGACAUUGGUUUGUUUGUUGGCUGUUCUUGAGAAAUAAGA
Molecule: long non-coding RNA, 494 nt
Organism: Corythoichthys intestinalis (scribbled pipefish)
Lineage: Eukaryota; Metazoa; Chordata; Actinopteri; Syngnathiformes; Syngnathidae
Exons: 3
Source: RefSeq, a predicted model, not a curated record